This 164-nucleotide ribosomal RNA is filed under the name Cypripedium calceolus. Its description in RNAcentral is "5.8S ribosomal RNA". It matches the Rfam family "5.8S ribosomal RNA". Rfam says of the family: 5.8S ribosomal RNA (5.8S rRNA) is a component of the large subunit of the eukaryotic ribosome. It is transcribed by RNA polymerase I as part of the 45S precursor that also contains 18S and 28S rRNA. Functionally, it is thought that 5.8S rRNA may be involved in ribosome translocation. The record is from RNAcentral. Lineage: Eukaryota; Viridiplantae; Streptophyta; Magnoliopsida; Asparagales; Orchidaceae.
UUUAUGACUCUCGACAACGGAUAUCUUGGCUCUUGCAUCGAUGAAGAACGCAGCAAAAUGCGAUAAGUGGUGUGAAUUGCAGAAUCCCGUGAACCAUCGAGUCUUUGAACGCAAGUUGCGCCCGAUGCCAUCAGGCUAAGGGCACGCCUGCCUGGGCGUCGUGU